Molecule: ribosomal RNA, 440 nt
Filed under: uncultured bacterium
Lineage: Bacteria
Description: partial 16S ribosomal RNA
Rfam family: Bacterial small subunit ribosomal RNA
Source: RNAcentral
CCUACGGGAGGCAGCAGUAGGGAAUAUUGCUCAAUGGGGGAAACGCUGAAGCAGCAAAGCCGCGUGGAGGAUGAAGGUUUUCGGAUUGUAAACUCCUUUUGUUAGAGAAGAUAAUGACGGUAUCUAACGAAUAAGCACCGGCUAACUCCGUGCCAGCAGCCGCGGUAAUACGGAGGGUGCAAGCGUUAUUCGGAAUCACUGGGCGUAAAGCGCGCGUAGGCGGGAUAGAAGGUCAGAUGUUAAAUCCUAUGGCUUAACCAUAGAACUGCAUUUGAAACUGUUUUUCUUGAGUAUGCGAGAGGUAGGUGGAAUUCUUGGUGUAGGGGUAAAAUCCGUAGAGAUCAAGAGGAAUACUCAUUGCGAAGGCGACCUGCUAGAACAUAACUGACGCUGAUGCGCGAAAGCGUGGGGAGCAAACAGGAUUAGAUACCCGAGUAGUC